AUUGAACGCUGGCGGAAUGCCUUACACAUGCAAGUCGAACGGCAGCACGGGUGCUUGCACCUGGUGGCGAGUGGCGAACGGGUGAGUAAUACAUCGGAACGUACCCAGUCGUGGGGGAUAACGUAGCGAAAGUUACGCUAAUACCGCAUACGUCCUGAGGGAGAAAGCGGGGGACCGUAAGGCCUCGCGCGAUUGGAGCGGCCGAUGGCGGAGUAGCUAGUUGGUGGGGUAAAGGCCUACCAAGGCGACGAUCCGUAGCGGGUCUGAGAGGACGGCCCGCCACACUGGAACUGAGACGCGGUCCAGACUCCUACGGGAGGCAGCAGUGGGGAAUUUUGGACAAUGGGCGAAAGCCUGAUCCAGCCAUUCCGCGUGAGUGAAGAAGGCCUUCGGGUUGUAAAGCUCUUUCGGCAGGGAAGAAACGGCUUGGGAUAAUACCCCGGGCUAAUGACGGUACCUGAAGAAGAAGCACCGGCUAACUACGUGCCAGCCGCCGCCGUAA
This 502-nucleotide ribosomal RNA is filed under the name uncultured bacterium. RNAcentral's name for it is "partial 16S ribosomal RNA". It matches the Rfam family "Bacterial small subunit ribosomal RNA", at positions 29 to 523 of the family's 1533-position model. The record is from RNAcentral.